AAAAGGUUUUUUUAUGGCCUGAAAGUUAGGUUAAAUCUCGUCUUACAUGUAAAUUUUAAUGGGAAUUUUUUUUUAUUUUUAUAAUAAUUAAUUUAUAUUAUUCGCAGUAGGGGAAUUUAAAUAUUAGUUUAAGCUAGAUUUGGGGGUGAUUUUUUUUGUUAACAAAGCUUGUGCCAGCAGUUGCGGUUAUACAAGCAACAUUCUUAAUUUUUUCGGAGUUCAGUAAUUUGUUGAAAAAGGUUUUUAUUAGAAUUUAUAAGGUGAAAUUUUAAUUUUUAUUUUAAAUCUGUUUAUAAAAUUUAAGCUGAGAAAUUUUUAUUUAAACUAGGAUUAGAUACCCUAUUAUUUAAAAUGUAAAUUUUUAUUCUAAAAUAGUAUUAGUUAUUUUCUUGAAAAUUAAAUAAUUUGGCGGUAUUUUAGUCCAUUCAGAGGAACCUGUCCUGUAAUUGAUGAUCCACGAUAAUAUAUACUUUUUUUUUUAGUUUACAUAUCGUCGUAGUUGAAUAUUUUUUAAGAAUUUAAAUAUUCUUGACUUUUUUAAAAAAGUAAAUCAGAUCAAGGUGUAGCUUAUAAAUGAGUAAGUGAUGGGUUACAUUAAAUUUAUUUGGCGAUUGGUUAAUUUAUUUAAUUAUGAAUUUGGAUUUGAUAGUAAUUUUAUUUAUUUUUUUAAUAUGAUAGUGGCUCUAAAAUAUGUACAUAUCGCCCGUCGCUUUCACUUUAAGGUGGAAUAAGUCGUAACAAAGUAGGCUUACCGGAAGGUGUGCCUGGAAAG
Molecule: non-coding RNA, 772 nt
Filed under: Nortia carinicollis
Lineage: Eukaryota; Metazoa; Arthropoda; Insecta; Coleoptera; Cerambycidae
Source: RNAcentral